Molecule: long non-coding RNA, 3746 nt
Filed under: Homo sapiens (human)
Lineage: Eukaryota; Metazoa; Chordata; Mammalia; Primates; Hominidae
Description: LNC_000559
Source: RNAcentral
CUCAACACUAGACCUACAGAGGUCAGAAGGAGCCCUUGCCUUCAAGGAGAUAGGUAAGUAAACCAGCAAAUAGACACUUUAUCCAUUCCACAAGUGUUUAUGGAAUACCUACUGUGUCCUGGCACUCUGCUUAGCUCUGAGGAUUCAGCAAUGAAUAAGACAGGUGUGAAAAUAAGUAAUUCAAAAUCUAAGCUGUUGGAACUCCAAACUAUUUUGAUCCUUAAAGAAAUGUGAUUAUGGGGCCUGAGUCACGUUACAAGCAGCUGUAACCUGGGAAGCUGUAAUCUUUGUUUCUAUGAUUAUAGAUUAACCUUCCUCCUUGCUUACAUUGUUGUACAAAAUGUUACAAAUGACUAAAGGGCUCCAGGAAAGACCCCUUCCCUGUUACUGUUGAUUUUUAUUAUAGAUUAACUUCCCUUUUAGUUUCUCACCCAAAGGUUUCAUGGCUAUCACACCGUGUUAAGAUGGAGUGUUAAAUACCUCUUUUAAAUCAGAAAGGAAAUGAAAACCAACUGUAAAGAAAACAAGCCAUACAGAAAAGAAACUCAUAAACUAGCGUUCUAGAAAAUGUUAUAAACCUACUAAACUUCUUUGUUUUCUGCCUAUAUAUGCAAUAAUUUAACUUUGAACUUUGGAACACUGACUCUAUUUCUCUGGAGUCUGUGUCUCCCAAAUGGCUAUUCCCAGCUUUUUACUUGAAUAAUCUCGACUGGAUUUUGAUCCUUUUGAUUAUUUCAGGUUAACCCAGACCAGGCCAUGAAGAUUGUAAAUCUGUGUGGGCUUGCAAGGCCUUAUAUGAUGGGAUUUUGCACUUGCUGUUUCCUCUGCCUAGAAUGCUUUAUCUUUGCAUGGCUCGGUUCAAAUGUCACCUUCUCAGAGGGCCAGCCUUCCAUGACUGUCUUAUUUAGUGCUGUUCCUCUCUUCUAGUCACUGUUGAUUGUAUGAUCUUGAUUUCCUUCAAAGCACUUAUUACUAUCAGAGAUGAUGUGUGUACUUGCUUUUGGUCUGUCCCUCUUGAGGACAGGGACUUUGAUUGAUUUGGUAUCUCUAAGUGUUUAAACGGUAUCUGGAAUAUUUUGGGCACCUAAAACACAUUUGAUGAUGGGAUGAAACAACGAAUGUGUGGAUGGUGCUGGAGAAAGGCAUUCAACAAAUAAGGCAAUUUCAGAUAGUGAAAGUAUGGGUACUCAGAGAAGGUUAAUGGAGAAGUGGAGUCAGUAUUCUGAUGUCUGAGCAGAAAUGUAAAGGAAGAGUUGGCUAGGCAAAGAAAACAAUGUAAGCUGGAUCACAGAGGUGUGAAAGCAUGGCGCAUGGGGGAUUCACAAGUAGUGAGAAUGCCUAGAUUAUAGGUUCACCUAGGGGCAGAUAGCAAGGGUGAGAGCUCCAAGGAGCUGACUUGUCUUACGAAGAUUUGAAUUGCAACCUAAAGGCAAAAUGUAGUCACAGAGGCAUUUUAUGUAGAAGUCACAUAAUAAGUUAUGUAUCUUAGAUCAUUCUGGCACCAGAGAGUAAGAUAGAUUCGAAUAGAUAGGUUACAUGUAGGAAAAAAGGUAUUUUCCCUGCUCUCACACAGCUACUCAACACUUCUGACUCCAGAUGUGUGGGGAUUUUCCCACAAACAUCAAGCAGUUCUGCUAUGUACACCAUCUGGGUGUCCGCUAAUUCAAUUCUGUUGACACUAUCUACCUGGAGAUAGCAUCAGAUCCCAUAGGUUGAGGACUUAGUCUUACAAAACUGUCCCCCACUUCAGAUGCCAAUCACAAGCCCCAGGUUGCAGUCUGUACUUCUGACAACUAUAAAUCAGAGUUCCCACAACCCCUCCUAAAUCAUUCUAUUAAUUUCCUAGAGUGACUCACAGUAUGCGGGGAAACACUUAUGUUUACCCAUUCAUUAAAAAGGACAUUGCAAAGGAUACAGAGGAACAACCAGACAAGAGAUGCACAGGGCAAAGUACGCGGGAAGGGGAGCCAGGCUUCCAUGCCCUUUCCAGGCAAGCCACCUUCUAGGAACCUCCGCAUGUUCAGCUAUCCAGAAGUUGUCCAAACCCAAGCCUUUUGUAUUUUUAUGGAAGCUUCGUUAGGUAGGAUGAUGGAUUAAAUUACUGGCCAUUGGCAAGGAGAUUAACCUACAGCCUUUCUCCCCUCCCCAAAGGUUGGGGGAUAGAGCUGAAAGUCCCAACACUUUAAUCCUGCCUUGGUUUUUCUGAGGACCAGUCCCCGUGCUGAGGCUAUCAGGGGCCCCAAUCACCAGUCAUCUCAGUAGUAUACAAAAGGCACUCUUACCACUCUGGAGAUUCCAAGGGUUUUGGGAGUUGUAUGUCAGGAAAUGGACUAUGACCAAAUAUAUGUUUCACAGUAUCGAAGAAUGGAAGUAGGUUGGGGGCACAGAGAUUAGUGUGGGAACAAUUACAGAAAUUAAAGGAAAAAUUAAUUAGGGGCCUAAUCUAAGGCAGUGGCAGAAGAGAUGGUGAGGAAAACAGUUGAAGAUUUUUAAAGAGAGACUUAUUAAAAUAAUGGCAAAGAGAUGUAGGUGAGUGAGUUGGGGGGAAGAAUGGGUUGAUUCCCAGGUUUCUCACUUGGUACCAAUCACCCAGGUUGAUGCAUUAAGUAGAGAAGAGAUAAUUAGCUUCACCAGCUCUCAAAGUCAUUGAACUGCUGGGGCACAGGUGCCUGCAGUUGUGUACGUAGUCCUUUGGCUAAAAUCUGAAGGAUAACCCUCGUAAUGCUUUAAUGAAACACAGCUUUGCUCAUCUUGGCAACCUGUGCUGACUGCUGUCUAUAAAACUUCUAGCUGUACCAGUUUGGGUGUAAGGAUAUGGUGUUUGUCUUCUAAGAAAUCUUAGCUACUGGCCAGGCACAGUAGCUCACACCUGUGAUCCCAGCACUUUGGCUGAGCCAGGAGGAUCACUUGAGCCCAGGAGUUCAAGACCAGCUUGGGCAACAUAGGAAGAUCCCACCUCUACAAAAAAUAAAAAUUUAGCUGGGUGUGGUAGUGUGUACCUUGGUCCAAGCUACUUGGGAGGUUGAGGCAGGAGGAUCACUUGAGCCUGGGAGGUUGAGUGUGCAGUGAGCCAUGAUCAUGCCAUUUGCACUCCAGCCUGGGCAACAAGAGCGAAACUCUGUCUCAAAAAAAAACAAAAAAACCCAGAUAUUUCAGACUAAAUGUAGUCCUCAGAAAAAGGCAGGUCCUGCUCAAGUAAUUUGGAGGUCAGUAUUGGAAAGAAAACUAGAGUUAUCUGGGAGGAUUUAUUCAAACUGGCCAGAAAUAAUUUGAAUUAGGAAUAGAUUAGACUUAAGUAAAAUUUUCCUGAACUCAUGUUGACUCAUGUACUAAAUAGAACAGGGCUGGCCACUGCUUUGUACUUAAAAUCAAUUACCUCGUUGGAAAGAGACAAUAUAACUUUUUGGCUGUCUUAGUUAAGACUGCUGUUAACAAAAAUACCAUACACUGGGUAGUGUAAACAACAGAAAUUUAUUCCUUACAGUUCUGACAGCUGGGAAGUUCAAGAUCAAGAUGCCAGCUCAUUCAGUUCCUGGUGAAGGCUCUCUUCCUGGUUUGCAAACAGACACCUUCUUGCUGUAUCCUCACAUAUCCAAGAAAGAGAUCAUCUCUUUUAUGUCUCUUCUUAUAAGAGCACUAUUCCCAUUCAUGAGAGCUCCACCCUCAUGACCUAAUUACUCCUCAAAGUCUCCACAUUUAAAUGCCAUCACACUUGAGGAUUAGGGCUUCAACAUAUAAAUUUUAGG